AUUGAACGCUGGCGGCAUGCCUUACACAUGCAAGUCGAACGGUAACAGGUCUUCGGAUGCUGACGAGUGGCGAACGGGUGAGUAAUACAUCGGAACGUGCCCGAUCGUGGGGGAUAACGAAGCGAAAGCUUUGCUAAUACCGCAUAAGAUCUACGGAUGAAAGCAGGGGACCGCAAGGCCUUGCGCGAACGGAGCGGCCGAUGGCAGAUUAGGUAGUUGGUGGGAUAAAAGCUUACCAAGCCGACGAUCUGUAGCUGGUCUGAGAGGACGACCAGCCACACUGGGACUGAGACACGGCCCAGACUCCUACGGGAGGCAGCAGUGGGGAAUUUUGGACAAUGGGCGAAAGCCUGAUCCAGCCAUGCCGCGUGCAGGAUGAAGGCCUUCGGGUUGUAAACUGCUUUUGUACGGAACGAAAAGACUCUGGUGAAUACCUGGGGUUCAUGACGGUACCGUAAGAAUAAGCACCGGCUAACUACGUG
RNAcentral lists this ribosomal RNA (482 nucleotides) under uncultured bacterium. RNAcentral's name for it is "partial 16S ribosomal RNA". It matches the Rfam family "Bacterial small subunit ribosomal RNA", at positions 30 to 507 of the family's 1533-position model. The record is from RNAcentral.